Molecule: long non-coding RNA, 518 nt
Organism: Myotis davidii
Lineage: Eukaryota; Metazoa; Chordata; Mammalia; Chiroptera; Vespertilionidae
Exons: 3
Source: RefSeq, a predicted model, not a curated record
UGUGUUUUCAAUGACUUCCAGAGAUACUGCAGAACAAGACAUUUCUUCAGCAUCCUCGAUGAAAAAUGAACAUUAAUAAUGCAGGUAAGAACCAGGCCAAGUGAUGAUGAAAAGAAAACAAGAUCCAGAAGCCCUAAUUCUUUUAGCGAAAUAUAUUUAAAAUGGUAAGUUCAAUAGUUCCACCAUAGCAGAGAAUGAGUCAAAAUCUGCUCUAACCAGCACCUUCACUUGUAUGAACUCAUUCCACGCUCUCAAGAACUAUUACUAUCAUUUCUGAUGAAAAUUUGGGGCAAAGAGGGAUUAAGAAAUUGCCCAAGGUUGCUGGUUGACGCUCAAUCACUGAGACAUACCAGCCAGGCAGAGGAUACAAUUUAAUGAAGGAGGUGGUGAUAAUCAUUAUCAUCGAAUUCUGAAAAAUCCAUGAAAUAUGAUGACGACUGAGUAAAGAUAAUUGGAUUAGGCUAACUGUAGACUGGUGGAAGUAAGAGGCAGAUUUGAGAGCAUUAAAGAGAGAAAGA